GCCCGGGUGAUGAAAUUGGUAGACGUAGGGGACUCAAAAUCCCCCGCCGCAAGGCGUGCCGGUUCGAGUCCGGCCCCGGGCA
RNAcentral lists this transfer RNA (82 nucleotides) under Jezberella montanilacus. RNAcentral's name for it is "beta proteobacterium MWH-P2sevCIIIb tRNA". It matches the Rfam family "tRNA". Rfam says of the family: Transfer RNA (tRNA) molecules are approximately 80 nucleotides in length. RNAcentral also lists the same sequence under 2 other names. Lineage: Bacteria; Pseudomonadati; Pseudomonadota; Betaproteobacteria; Burkholderiales; Alcaligenaceae. The record is from Rfam by way of RNAcentral.